AAUAACUCCCUAUUUAUUAUUUUUAAUCUUUGUGACCUUAGUUUCUUUAUCAAUGAAAUAUCAAGGGUCUGAGGUAUAUUGUUUUACAAAUCCUUUGGCAUCUAAAAAUGCAUAUUUGAGCUACAUUCCCACUAACAGCAGGAAAUUUAUCCUCCUUUCUUAGCAGUGUAUCGUGUAUCCUAGGACCUUCAACGUAGAACAAUUAAAGCUCUGAACAGCGUUAAGAGCAUUUAGCUUGAGAUCAAGCCAGUCUUUCAUUGGGUUGUGUGAUUUCUGACAAGCCAUCAAGUCAGUAAAUUCAUUUACCUGUGAUAAAACACACUUGAAGUUGUUUUACACCAAGAUGAGAAGAAAUCUCCUAGUUAGUUUUUUCUAUGUUUGCCUUUUACCUUGUCCAAAGAAAUCUCCAAAGGAGAUUUACAAGUAUGAUACAUCCAUUAUUCACUGAUGGUAUGAAAUAUUUAAAGAUGGAAGCUCUGUCCUUCUGCUUUCUAAUUGUUUUCUCAGUGUCUUUCUGUGAUGCAUUUUGGGGGUUUGCAUUCAGCUUAUGAAGUCUAGUAUGACUGUGUUUCCAGUGGAUUGAUACUUUGCUGUGAGCUGUGGUUGUCUUGGAACUUCACAGUAAUCGAAUUUGAAGACACUGAUGUGCAUUCUCAAUACACAACCAUCAAAUUGAAACAGAACUCCAAAGUAGACCAUCUGUCUUCUCUCAUGUUUGAGCCAUCUUGUCUGUGCCCAAAGCAGAUUUUGGGUAAUUACUAAAUUCAAGGUGAAAACUCCAGUACUUCAAAAUCACACAGAUCACUUCCUCAACAUUACACCAGUAGCGCAGACACUGAAAUGGAUAAUUAAUAAGUGGGACCUCCUGAAACUGAGAAGCUUUUGUAAGGCAAAGGACACAGUCAACAAAACAAAACAGCAUCCCACAGAAUGGGAAAAGAUAUUCACCAACCCCACAUCUGACAGAAGGCUGAUCUUCAAAAUUUACAAAGAAUUCAAGAAGCUAGUUUCCAAAACACCCACUAAUCCAAUUAAAAAGUGGUGUACAGAACCAAAUAGAGAAUUCUCAAUAGAAGAAUCCAAAAUGGCUGAAAGACACAUAAGAAAGUGCUCAACAUCCUUAGCCAUCAGGGAAAUGCAAAUCAAAAUAACUCGAAGAUACCAUCUUACACCUGUCAGAAUGGCUAAAUCAAGAACAACUAUAACAGUUUAUGCUGGAGAGUAUGUGGAGAAAGGGGAACACUCCUCCACUGCUGGUGGGAGUGCCAACUCCUACAGCCACUUUGGAAAUCAGUAUGGCAGUUCCUCAGGAAAAUGGGAAUCAGUCUACCACAAGAUCCAGCAAUUCUACUUUUAG
This 1357-nucleotide long non-coding RNA is filed under the name Cricetulus griseus (Chinese hamster). RNAcentral describes it as "lncRNA (ENSCGRG00000026178.1)". The record is from RNAcentral. Lineage: Eukaryota; Metazoa; Chordata; Mammalia; Rodentia; Cricetidae.